GUGCCAGCCGCCGCGGUAAUACAGAGGGUGCGAGCGUUAAUCGGAGUUACUGGGCGUAAAGGGCGCGUAGGCGGUGAUAUGAGUGUGGUGUGAAAGCCCCGGGCUUAACCUGGGAAGCGCAUCGCAAACGAUAUGACUAGAGUAGAUGAGAGGGUGGCGGAAUUUCCGGUGUAGCGGUGAAAUGCGUAGAGAUCGGAAGGAACGUCAAUGGCGAAGGCAGCCACCUGGCAUCAUACUGACGCUGAGGCGCGAAAGCGUGGGGAGCGAACAGGAUUAGAUACCCUUGUAGUCC
RNAcentral lists this ribosomal RNA (292 nucleotides) under uncultured bacterium. RNAcentral describes it as "partial 16S ribosomal RNA". It matches the Rfam family "Bacterial small subunit ribosomal RNA", at positions 505 to 796 of the family's 1533-position model. The record is from RNAcentral.